AUUACACAGACCAUUGCCGCUAUCUGUGCCGAAGGCCAUAAAAAAUGCUGCUGAGAUCUCAGGGAUGAAACAAGAACACUUGAGGGAUGCUGGUUGAGUUUUGGGCUUGGCUCAAAGUAAAAAUCGUUACUGAGAAAGCCAAACUUACGGAGGUGGAAGUUGGCGAUGAACUUCUCUGCUCUCGUUCCAACAAGGAUGGAUUUCUAGAAACUAGCUUUGAUACAAUUUGUGGCUUGUAUUUUCUACCAUUGCAAAAUUGUUGGCUCUUACCA
Molecule: long non-coding RNA, 272 nt
Organism: Selaginella moellendorffii
Lineage: Eukaryota; Viridiplantae; Streptophyta; Lycopodiopsida; Selaginellales; Selaginellaceae
Exons: 2
Source: RefSeq, a predicted model, not a curated record